RNAcentral lists this ribosomal RNA (497 nucleotides) under uncultured bacterium. RNAcentral's name for it is "partial 16S ribosomal RNA". It matches the Rfam family "Bacterial small subunit ribosomal RNA", at positions 28 to 507 of the family's 1533-position model. The record is from RNAcentral.
GAUGAACGCUGGCGGCGUGCCUAAUACAUGCAAGUCGAGCGAACGGACGAGAAGCUUGCUUCUCUGAUGUUAGCGGCGGACGGGUGAGUAACACGUGGAUAACCUACCUAUAAGACUGGGAUAACUUCGGGAAACCGGAGCUAAUACCGGAUAAUAUUUUGAACCGCAUGGUUCAAAAGUGAAAGACGGUCUUGCUGUCACUUAUAGAUGGAUCCGCGCUGCAUUAGCUAGUUGGUAAGGUAACGGCUUACCAAGGCAACGAUGCAUAGCCGACCUGAGAGGGUUAUCGGCCACACUGGAACUGAGACACGUUCCAGACUCCUACGGGAGGCAGCAGUAGGGAAUCUUCCGCAAUGCGCGAAAGCCUGACGGAGCAACGCCGCGUGGGUGAUGAAGGUCUUCGGAUCGUAAAACUCUGUUAUUAGGGAAGAACAUAUGUGUAAGUAACUGUGCACAUCUUGACGGUACCUAAUCAGAAAGCCACGGCUAACUACGUG